RNAcentral lists this ribosomal RNA (305 nucleotides) under uncultured bacterium. RNAcentral's name for it is "bacterial SSU rRNA". It matches the Rfam family "Bacterial small subunit ribosomal RNA", at positions 335 to 638 of the family's 1533-position model. The record is from RNAcentral.
UCGCCUACGGGAGGCAGCAGUGAGGAAUAUUGGUCAAUGGGAGAGAUCCUGAACCAGCCAAGCCGCGUGAGGGAAGACGGCCCUAUGGGUUGUAAACCUCUUUUGUCGGAGAACAAAACCCGGGACGUGUCCCGGACUGCGUGUAUCCGAAGAAAAAGCAUCGGCUAACUCCGUGCCAGCAGCCGCGGUAAUACGGAGGAUGCGAGCGUUAUCCGGAUUUAUUGGGUUUAAAGGGUGCGCAGGCGGGCUGUUAAGCCGGCGGUAAAAAUUCAGGGCUCAACCCUGUCGAGCCGUCGGAACUGGCG